Long non-coding RNA from Brassica napus (rape), 3340 nucleotides. RefSeq lists it as uncharacterized. The transcript has 2 exons. The record is from RefSeq and is a predicted model, not a curated record. Lineage: Eukaryota; Viridiplantae; Streptophyta; Magnoliopsida; Brassicales; Brassicaceae.
UCUUUUAUAUACUAUGAGUUAAUUUUAUUUUAUAUAUUUAUGGAAAUUUGGUAAAAAAAUAUGAAAUUUCGAAUAUAUAGUUUAUUAUAUUUAAUUUAAAUGCUAAGAUUUUUGUUUUUUUAACGGAUACCAACAUUUCAAUCCCAAAUUUGUAUCUUUGUUAUUAACUUACAAAUUCAUAUUUUUUAUCAUGAUUUUAAUUUUUUUAGUUUAUAACAUUUUUAUGAAGAAGAAUCAGAAACGUUGAUGUAAUAAAUUCAAAAAAAACUCAGUGUUAUAUAUAUAUAUAUAUAUAUAUACAUAUUUCAAAUGUUUAUAUGAUUCAAAUUUAAAUAAAACUAUUAUUAACAAUAUCAUGUAAAAUAUAUAUUUUUAACUCGUCUCAGGCCUCCAAAAAUCUUCGCACAGCACUGAUUUUGUUUGGUACAUUGCAUAUCUAUUGCUUUCGCUCGAAACGAAUUUGACUAAAAGGUUGAUUGUUUGUAGUUUUUGGAUUAGUUUUUGGUUUUUGUUUUUCCAAAAACCAUUUAGCAACCAAUCAAAAUUUUAAAAGAAUAGAUUCCCUAAAAUGUAGGAAAAUUAGUUUUUGCAAAUAACUGUUUUCUUAACACAAAAACCAAAAGCCAAGUUUUCAUAGUUUUUUUCUUAUCUUACGGUGGGUUUCCAAUUUUUUUUAAAUUGCUUUUAUUUUAUUUAUAUUUUAAUAUAAGAAAAAAAUAAAAAAUGAUAAUUACUGUAAUCAAAAAAGGUUUAGUAAGAUUCAUUUUCUUACUAUUGGUACUAUUUAUUAAAAUUCGUGAUAUAUAUUCUUGUAUUAAUUUUUUUUAAACAAGAAAUAAACUUCUAAAAUAAUUUUUUUUAAUAUCAGACCAAAAAAUCAUUAAUCCAAUUUUUGAGAAACCAGAAGGAUAAUAAAGUUUUAAAUUCCGAAUUCAAAAUAUAUUUAUAAUUUUAUACAGUACUUUCCUGAACUUAUAAAAGUACAUUUAAAUUUUAUUUAGUAUAUUUAAAUAAACUAGCUAUUGAUAUUUUUAUUUAUAAUAAUAUGUGAUUUAUAAAAUAUUUUAAAAAUACAACUAUUUUUUUUAACUUUUUAAUUAUGUAUUUUCAUUUUUGAACUGCAGUAAUUAUGUUGUCAUAUAUAUAUAUCAGAAUGGGGGAAUUUUACUUCUACACUUUCUUUGGUACCACAUUUCAAGUAUACCACUAGUAUGAAGACAUUUUCAAAAAAUACACUUUUCAUUAAUGACCAAAAGACCAUACUAGCCCUAACCUUAUCUCUCUCUCGCGAUCCUCUUUUCUUUCUCUCUCUCUCGCGAUCUUUUUUCUUCCUCUCUGCCUCCGAUUCACCGGAGAUCCACCAUCUCUCUCUCAUUCCACCGGUUCUCUGCGGUUCACUCUGCGGUUCACUCUGUCGACUCCUACUUCUGUACAAGAUUCCCAACUGGUAUGCAUCUAAUUUCUCCUUUUUUUGUUUGUGUCGAUUAAUUUUGCGAAAUUUCGAUUUUGUGGUUACUAUAGUCGAAAAUCAAACAAGAUUGCUUUAGACUUCUAAUCUGUACAUGUCGAUCUAAGAUAAACAAUUCUGAUUGUGAAAACAUUGAGUUUUGACAACUUAAGACCCUUUAUAACCCUUUGUAAAUCUGAGUUAUUUUGUAAUGUAAUUGAUAUGUUCAGUUCCUGAGAAGCUGUGUUCAAGCUUAUAUGAGAGCCACAAUCCUGCCAGCACACAUUUGCUUUAAUUGUUGGUGAAUGGUCGAUUCACAAUAAGAAAGUUGGCAGAAUCUGAAAGUUUUGUUUUUGGUUCUGCGUUUCUUAACAGUUGUGACUUACGUGUCUGUCUAGUACUCAAUGUAGCUCAAUAUGUUAAUUAUUUACUCUAAUCUCUUGCUUGUUUCUUGACCAUAAUACAACAAACAGAGCGGUAGAAUCCAAUGAGAUGUGGAAGACUCAGGAGCAAGAAAACGAAAGGCUCAAAAUAAAAUCAAGAGAGGAAAGCAGCAACAGCAGUAGCCAAAUGAAGUGGAGUAGUAGUUUCUCGAAAAGGAGUUUGGAUAAGAAAUGUAGCUCCAUUAACGAGGAGAGAAAGAUCACUCAUCAAUCAUCAUUGGACAAAAGAUUGUACUUGGAUGAUGAUGAUGAAGGUUUAGGAGAUGAUGAGAAUUGAGUCUUUUCUCCAAUCACGGAACAAACGUGGGAGAGGCUCUGUUGGUCCUAGGAUGGAUGAAAAUGUCCCUUAUCUUCCCACCGAGAAGGUUGAUCAAUUGCAAAGUUCUGAUACAAGGGAAAGGAAGGUAGUCUUGCUGCAGCUUGGGCUCUAGCUAAUCUAUAUUAUCUUGCAUGUUAGAAAGCUCUUAUAAGGGUUUAUAAAACUAUUUAUAAGAACUUAUAAAUCAUUUUUAAGGUUUUAAAAAUAUAUUUAUAAAAGUUUAUGAAUCUGUAUAUAAGGUUUGUAAAAAUAUUAUAAGAGUUUAAUAAUCUUCAUAACACAAUUUAUAAGAGUUAAUAAAUCUUUUUCAAGAGUUUAUAAAUCUUUACAAACAUUUAGAAGUAAAAUAUUCAUAAAGCUAUUAUAAGUGUCUAUAAUUCUAAUAUAAAUGUUUGUAAAUUAUUUAUAGUAAAUAAAAGAUUAUUUAUAAUGGUUUAUAAAACAAUUAAUAAGACUUUAUAAAAUCAGUCUAUAAGGUUUUUUAAAUAUAUUAUUAAAGUAUAAUUCAUUUAUAAGAGUUUAUAAAAUCCGUUUAUAAGGAUUAUAAAUAAUUAAUAAAUGUUUAUGAAUGAUUUAUGAAGAUUUAGAAAUCAUUUAUAAAUAUUUAUCAAUAGUUUAUAUAUAUUCCUCAUGUGGUGGAAAACAGCAAGAUGAUGUAGCAGAGGUUUGUGGGGAUAUUGAGUUUGCUGUAUAGUUCAUAGCUAAGAAUAAGAGCGAGUGUCUCCAAGAAGAAUGGGGAGUGUUGGGGAAGUCUCCGGAGGCGGCUUUAGAUGUGGAUCAGACGAUCUUCGUGGUUACGGCGGAAGACGUGGAGAGGAGCAAAAGACGGUGUUAUGGGCAGCAAGAAACUUCUCCAGCAAGAAGAUUUGCUUGCUUUACGUCCAUCGUCCUGCUUGGCCUGCCUCCUGCAGUGAGAAUCUUAUGCUUCUCUUUCUCUCUGACUUAACUAUUUUGUGGUGAAUUAUAGAAUAUUUAUGGAUGUUGAAUUGUUCUUGAGUGUAGAUUUGCUCAUGAAUCAUGAUUGAAUCUUACCGAGUCUAUAUAUAUAUCCUUUAGUUGAUUGUGGAUGAUGUUAAUGAUGUACCUCUGUUUGCUAAGAAAAUCUGAGAAAUGAUAUAAUUGUUUUAUAAA